This 484-nucleotide ribosomal RNA is filed under the name uncultured bacterium. RNAcentral describes it as "partial 16S ribosomal RNA". It matches the Rfam family "Bacterial small subunit ribosomal RNA", at positions 29 to 523 of the family's 1533-position model. The record is from RNAcentral.
AGUGAACGCUGGCGGCGUGCUUAACACAUGCAAGUCGAACGAGAACGGAUUAUAGCUUGCUAUAAUUGUCAGCUAAGUGGCGCACGGGUGAGUAAUGUAUAGGUAAUAUGCCUCUUACUAAGGGAUAACAAAUGGAAACGUUUGCUAAUACCUUAUACUCCUUAUUAACAUAAGUUAAUAAGGGAAAGAUUUAUUGGUAAGAGAUUAGCCUGUAUUGUAUCAGUUAGUUGGUGGGGUAAUGGCUUACCAAGACUAUGACACAUAACUGGUUUGAGAGGAGUAUCAGUAAAACUGGAACUGAGACACGGUCCAGACUCCUACGGGAGGAAGCAGUGGGGAAUAUUGCACAAGGGACGAAAGUCUGAUGCAGCAACGCCGCGUGGAGGAUGAAACAUUUCGGUGCGUAAACUCCUUUUAUAUGAGAAGAUAAUGACGGUAUUAUAUGAAUAAGCACCGGCUAACUCCGUGCCAGCAGCCGCCGUAA